GACGAACGCUGGCGGCGCGCUUAACACAUGCAAGUCGAACGGAAAGGCCCGCUUUCCCUUGUGGAUUGCGGGUACUCGAGUGGCGAACGGGUGAGUAACACGUGAGGGAUCUGCCCCCAACUUGGGUAUAAGCCUGGGAAACUGGGUCUAAUUCCCGAUAGGACUGCAGGGUGGAGGCUGUGGUGGGAAACGAUUUUCUAGUGGUGGGGGAUGAGCUCGAGGCCUAUCAGCUUGUUGGUGGGGUAAUGGCCUACCAAGGCGGCGACGGGUAGCCGGCCGGGGAGAGCGGACGGCGACAUUGGGACUGGGACACGGCCCAGACUCCUGCGAGAGGCAGCAGUGGGGAAUAUUGGGCAGUAGGCGGAAGCCUGAUGCAGCGACGGCGCGUGGGAGAUGACGGCGUUCGGGUUGUAAGCUCCUUUCGACCGCGAGGAAGCCACCUGGUUGGAAGGGUGGUGACGGUAGUGGUAGAAGAAGCACCGGCUAACUACGUG
This 494-nucleotide ribosomal RNA is filed under the name uncultured bacterium. RNAcentral's name for it is "partial 16S ribosomal RNA". It matches the Rfam family "Bacterial small subunit ribosomal RNA", at positions 28 to 507 of the family's 1533-position model. The record is from RNAcentral.